ACUCCUACGGGAGGCAGCAGUGGGGAAUAUUGCACAAUGGGCGCAAGCCUGAUGCAGCCAUGCCGCGUGUGUGAAGAAGGCCUUCGGGUUGUAAAGCACUUUCAGUUGUGAGGAAGGUGGUGUCGUUAAUAGCGGCAUCAUUUGACGUUAGCAACAGAAGAAGCACCGGCUAACUCCGUGCCAGCAGCCGCGGUAAUACGGAGGGUGCGAGCGUUAAUCGGAAUUACUGGGCGUAAAGCGCACGCAGGCGGCUUGUUAAGCUAGAGGUGAAAGCCCCGCGCUCAACGUGGGAACUGCCUUUAGAACUGGCAGGCUAGAGUCUUGGAGAGGGGAGUGGAAUUCCAGGUGUAGCGGUGAAAUGCGUAGAUAUCUGGAGGAACAUCAGUGGCGAAGGCGGCUCCCUGGCCAAAGACUGACGCUCAUGUGCGAAAGUGUGGGUAGCGAACAGGAUUAGAUACCCUGGUAGGAUAGCGU
Molecule: ribosomal RNA, 474 nt
Filed under: uncultured bacterium
Lineage: Bacteria
Description: bacterial SSU rRNA
Rfam family: Bacterial small subunit ribosomal RNA
Source: RNAcentral